CCUCCUGUGGCAAAAUGGUAGACGUACCAUGUUGAGGUCACGGCGCUGAAAAGCAUAUCGGUUCGAGUCCGAUCAGGGGUA
RNAcentral lists this transfer RNA (81 nucleotides) under Lobosphaera incisa. RNAcentral's name for it is "tRNA-Leu". It matches the Rfam family "tRNA". From Rfam's summary of the family: Transfer RNA (tRNA) molecules are approximately 80 nucleotides in length. Lineage: Eukaryota; Viridiplantae; Chlorophyta; Trebouxiophyceae; Trebouxiales; Trebouxiaceae. The record is from RNAcentral.